RNAcentral lists this ribosomal RNA (423 nucleotides) under uncultured bacterium. RNAcentral's name for it is "bacterial SSU rRNA". It matches the Rfam family "Bacterial small subunit ribosomal RNA", at positions 361 to 776 of the family's 1533-position model. The record is from RNAcentral.
AUCUUCCGCAAUGGACGCAAGUCUGACGGAGCAACGCCGCGUGAGUGAUGAAGGUCUUCGGAUCGUAAAACUCUGUUGUUAGGGAAGAACAAGUACGAGAGUAACUGCUCGUACCUUGACGGUACCUAACCAGAAAGCCACGGCUAACUACGUGCCAGCAGCCGCGGUAAUACGUAGGUGGCAAGCGUUGUCCGGAAUUAUUGGGCGUAAAGCGCGCGCAGGCGGUCUCGUAAGUCUGAUGUGAAAGCCCACGGCUCAACCGUGGAGGGUCAUUGGAAACUGGGAGACUUGAGUGCAGAAGAGAAGAGUGGAAUUCCAUGUGUAGCGGUGAAAUGCGUAGAGAUAUGGAGGAACACCAGUGGCGAAGGCGACUCUUUGGUCUGUAACUGACGCUGAGGCGCGAAAGCGUGGGGAGCAAACAGG